AGGAGAUAGAAAAGGCUGAGGAGGUAGAAAAGGCUGAGGAGAUAGAAAAGGCUGAGGAGGUCGAGAAGGCUGAGGAUGAAGAAAAGGCGGAGGAGGAAGAAAAGGCGGUGGAGGUAGAAAAGGCGGUGGAGGUAGAAAAAGCGGUGGAUGAAGAAAUGGCAGAUGAUGAAGAAAAGGUGGAGGAGGUAGAAAAGGCGGUGGAUGAAGAAAUGGCAGAGGAUGAAGAAAAGGCGGAGGUUGAAGAAAAGGCGGAUGAUGAAAAGAAGGUGGAGGAUGAAGAAAAGAAGGCAGAGGAUGAAAAGAAGGCGGAGGAUGGAAAGAAGGCAGAGGUUGAAGAAAAGGCUGAGGUUGA
RNAcentral lists this long non-coding RNA (352 nucleotides) under Erythranthe guttata (spotted monkey flower). RNAcentral describes it as "long non-coding RNA (EGUT_LNC001599)". The record is from RNAcentral. Lineage: Eukaryota; Viridiplantae; Streptophyta; Magnoliopsida; Lamiales; Phrymaceae.